This 301-nucleotide ribosomal RNA is filed under the name uncultured bacterium. RNAcentral's name for it is "partial 16S ribosomal RNA". It matches the Rfam family "Bacterial small subunit ribosomal RNA", at positions 509 to 809 of the family's 1533-position model. The record is from RNAcentral.
CAGUCGCCGCGGGAAUACGUAGGGUGCAAGCGUUAAUCGGAAUUACUGGGCGUAAAGCGUGCGCAGGCGGUUAUAUAAGACAGAUGUGAAAUCCCCGGGCUCAACCUGGGAACUGCAUUUGUGACUGUAUAGCUAGAGUACGGCAGAGGGGGAUGGAAUUCCGCGUGUAGCAGUGAAAUGCGUAGAUAUGCGGAGGAACACCGAUGGCGAAGGCAAUCCCCUGGGCCUGUACUGACGCUCAUGCACGAAAGCGUGGGGAGCAAACAGGAUUAGAUACCCGAGUAGUCCCUGUCUCUUAUAU